GGGCGUAUAGCUCAGCGGUAGAGCACUACCUUGACACGGUAGGGGUCCCAGGUUCAAACCCCGGUGCGCCCA
This 72-nucleotide transfer RNA is filed under the name Deltaproteobacteria bacterium. RNAcentral's name for it is "tRNA-Val". It matches the Rfam family "tRNA". From Rfam's summary of the family: Transfer RNA (tRNA) molecules are approximately 80 nucleotides in length. Their secondary structure includes four short double-helical elements and three loops (D, anti-codon, and T loops). Lineage: Bacteria; Pseudomonadati; Myxococcota; Myxococcia. RNAcentral also lists the same sequence under 1 other name. The record is from RNAcentral.